Long non-coding RNA from Bradysia coprophila, 354 nucleotides. The record is from RefSeq and is a predicted model, not a curated record. NCBI's taxonomy places the organism in Eukaryota, Metazoa, Arthropoda, Insecta, Diptera, Sciaridae.
UCAGUAUUUCCCUAAGACUAAUCAUACCUAGACAGGAAUUACGUACGGCGAAAAGUGGCCCCUACAUCAGUUUGUAUAAUAUUCAUAUUUCGUAUGACUUUACACCAACACAUGUAGGCGUUGACUAUUUUGAUAGAUGUCAAUUUUCCAUGUUGUUGUUUUUCGCGUCGCGACGUUGUGAUUUUUAAUUUUGUUUAAACAAUUUAAAUAUUCAAUUCAAUUCAAUCAUUCAAAUUAAAAUACGGUGCAUUGUACCAUGUGGAAAUAUGUUUUAUUAAGGACUGCCGAAGUAGGAGCGUAAGAGGCAACAAACGUUCAUUUUUCCGGUAUAAUUUUGUGCGCAGAGACCGUUUU